CAUAGACUUCACAUAUGAAUGCUGGGUGAGAGAAAACACAUUGACACUGAAUUUCAAACCUGCUUCUCCUUGGAAUACCAUGCAAUGAAAUGUUUAUUUUGGGAAUUGUCUUUGAAAUGUCUUUGUGACUGAUCUACAGUCUUCAGGAUAGUGAUUUAAAUAGAGAGAGUCACUUUGCAUUGUCACACAUGCUUCAGUGCUCUGAGAGUGUUUAUAGUGCUGUGAGUUUAACACUUCAUGACUGAGAGCAGAACAGAACACAAUCUUCAUCAUCACACAAGACAAAAGAACAACAAUGAACACAAUCACCUUCUUCAUCUGGACACUCACUCUGUUUGCUCAAGAGUGUAGAGGACAGAUCACUGUAACUCAGAGUCCAUCAACAAUAACAGCUCAACCAGGACAAGAAGUCAGAAUAAACUGUAAAACCAGCAGUAGAGUGUAUGAUGGUGAUCGUUUAGCCUGGUACUUACAGAAACCUGGAGAAGCUCCUAAACUCCUGAUUUAUCAGAUCAACAGUCUCCAGUCAGGAACUCCAUCUAGAUUCAGUGGCAGUGGAUCUGGCAGUGAUUUCACUCUGACCAUCAGUGGAGUCCAGACUGAAGAUACAGGAGAUUAUUACUGUCAGAGUUACCACUAUAUCAACAGUAAAGAUGUGUUCACACAGUGAUAAAGAGUGGUACAAAAACCUCGGUUAGUCAGACGUCACAGUGAUGCACUGAUACAGCUGAGAGAUACUGCAGCUGCUGAUGGAGGAUCACAAACAACACAAUGUUUUUUCAGACCUUUCAGAAACAUUAUUUAUUUAUUUUGAUGUACUAAGCAUGUAACAUAAUCUUUAUAUUAUAUAAAUGUUAGUGGUGCUUGGCCCUGCAAAACUUUGCCACAACAAUGUAAUCUAACUGCAGGAAAGUCCGCCACUUUAAUUGCACUUCCAUGCUUCAUCACUAGAUGGCGUGUCUGUUACAUAACUGAGUUCCCUAUCUGUCAGUCACUUUGACGUUGUGUCGAUGUGAUGACACUAGUAUAGUGUUUCUCAACCUUUUUUACUCGAUGGCCUCCUCCUUCACCAGAUCAAUACUGCAGUGCCCCCCUAAGAUGCUUGACAUUUCCUCUUAUACGACUGAGACUCCCAUCUAAAGCCUGUCGGUUCACGUCGUCUCUGAUAACAAGAACUUAAUGCUGUUGGACAGGCUGUCUCUGCUGUACAUGCCACGGACAUGAACGAGAAUAGUCCCGACCCAGCACACAUGCAGGACCUAUGCUCGUUUACCGAUUUAUUAAUAAUUAAUAAUCAUCAAUAAUUAAUAAUAAUAAUGAAAAAGUUUUCAAAAACGUAAUUUCUCUCAUCACUACAGCAAACAUUUUGAACAUGUGUAUGUUUGGCUUUAUAUUCAUUGAUACAUCAGACCAUGUAACAUUGUAUCUGGAAUGGUAAAACAUUGUUGACUUAUCUUAAGUGUCUGAAUUUCUGAGGAACUCUUAUAGCGCUGCAGGACUAGCCUACAGCAAACACUGAACCAGACUAUUAAAUGUUGAGCAAGGGAUCUCAUUGGCUGCAGGAUCAGCAGAGACCAAUCAGCCUGAGUCAUUUGGUAUUGAUGUGAUUGCUUACAGACUGCAUGUAAAGGACCGAUCGAAGCCUGUGCCAUCUUCAGUUUCAUGACCGAACUAGAUUUCUGACAUGACAAUUCUUGGAGAGUUUGUCAUGGUAAUGAAUAUGACAAUGUUAAUGUGUUUGGUCUGCUGCUGUUGAUUAUAUCUGCUGUAGAGUACAGAACUUUCCACUGCCAAAACACACACAACAUGCUGCUGCUGCUGUACGAGCAAACAUGAAUCACCCCAUAGCAGAUCUGGACAGGUGGAGCUGGGGGAGGUGGAGGGUUUCUGAAAGUACACUGCACUGCUACAGCAAACAAUAGACAAGUGUUUGAAUGUUGAGCAGCAAGAUCAUUGACUACUGAUACAGCAGGAAUCAUUCAGUUGUGUCCUGUAGAGAAUGAUGUGUAAAUGUGUGUGUCUGACUCUGUAUAUUUACUGUUACUGUGCUUUGGUGAUGUAAAGCCUUUCUUUUAACCCUGUCAGUAAAACUAUUGGACUCUGAA
Molecule: long non-coding RNA, 2105 nt
Organism: Ctenopharyngodon idella (grass carp)
Lineage: Eukaryota; Metazoa; Chordata; Actinopteri; Cypriniformes; Xenocyprididae
Exons: 2
Source: RefSeq, a predicted model, not a curated record